GAUGAAGAACGCAGCGAAAUGCGAUACGUAAUGUGAAUUGCAGAUUUCAGUGAAUCAUCGAAUCUUUGAACGCACAUUGCGCCCGCUAGUAUUCUGGCGGGCAUGCCUGUUCGAGCGUCAUUUCAACCAUCAAGCCCUAGGCUUGCGUUGGAGCCCUGCGGCUGCCGCAGGCUCCCAAAUCCAGUGGCGGGCUCGUCGUCGUACCGAGUGCAGUAAACAUCCUCGCUCAGGGAACGUGACGGGUUCUUGCCGUGAAACCCCCCACAUAUCAAGGUUGACCUCGGAUCAGGUAGGAAAUCCCGCUGAACUUAAGCAUAUCAAUAAGCGGAGGA
This 332-nucleotide unclassified non-coding RNA is filed under the name soil metagenome. Its description in RNAcentral is "partial contains 5.8S ribosomal RNA, internal transcribed spacer 2, and large subunit ribosomal RNA". The stretch from base 1 to 120 matches the Rfam family "5.8S ribosomal RNA", at positions 35 to 154 of the family's 154-position model. The record is from RNAcentral.